UACGUAGGGGUCGAGCGUUGUCCGGAGUUACUGGGCGUAAAGCGUGCGCAGGCGGCUCAUCGCGCUCGGCGUGAAAGCCCCCGGCUCAACCGGGGAGGGUCGUCGAGGACGGGUGGCGCUGAGGGUAUCAGGGGUUGGUGGAAUUCCCGGUGUAGUGGUGAAAUGCGUAGAGAUCGGGAGGAACACCCGUGGCGAAGGCGGCCAACUGGGAUACACCUGACGCUGAGGCACGAAGGCGUGGGGAGCGAACGGG
RNAcentral lists this ribosomal RNA (253 nucleotides) under uncultured bacterium. RNAcentral describes it as "partial 16S ribosomal RNA". It matches the Rfam family "Bacterial small subunit ribosomal RNA", at positions 524 to 776 of the family's 1533-position model. The record is from RNAcentral.